Non-coding RNA from Nelumbo nucifera (sacred lotus), 897 nucleotides. The record is from RefSeq and is a predicted model, not a curated record. NCBI's taxonomy places the organism in Eukaryota, Viridiplantae, Streptophyta, Magnoliopsida, Proteales, Nelumbonaceae.
CUGUUUUUGGGCAACAGAGUACCUACAGAUUGAGACCAACACGGAUGCCCUCGAUUUCUUUCCAGAACUUGAGAAACAAAUCCGACGGAACCAAAUUUAUGUUGCAAAGUUCAUCCCGUGAAGCCGGUUCUUUGUUGUUCGACCCCGACUCCAUUUUCAACUGCUCGAGAGUCGAGACCGUAAACAAACUACUGUUCAUCCCAUGGGGGUUAUUCUAGGCCUGUAAACAAACCAUUGUUCAUGCUUGAUUUUCCUCACUUCGGAUUGAACGAAGGAAAGAAAGAUAAUAAAAGGUUGAGAGAAACACACUAGUCUUGAAAUUUGCUUUUUAAGAACACUUACGCCAGGUAAGAUUUUUGUUUCAUAUGAAAUCCAGUGAACCCAACUUGUGCAAUUCUUCUUUCGUCCCUUGAUGUGGAAUUCUUUCCUGAAAAUUCAAUAUGGUCGGAUGAGGAAAGUCUCUUGGAGCUGGAGCGUCGAAGAAGGCAACAUCGAGAAGCAGCAAGGCCGAUCUACAGUUUCCGGUUGGUAGGAUCACUAGGUUUCCAAAAGCCGGAAAGUACGUAGAGAGAGUCGCCAGUGCUCCCGUGUAUCUCGCUGCCCAGUUGAGGUUUGGAAUUGGUUAGAAAUGUAGCAAUAGACAAGGAUCAUGCCGAGGCAUAUUCAGUUGGCGGUGAGAAAAGAUGAAGAACUUAGCAAACUUGUUGGGUGCUAUUACGAUCGCAAACGAUGAAGAACCUAGCAAGUUCCUCGUCCGGUGUUCUGUCCUCUCUUCAAAUUCUCAGUAUCUUGCUUUCUCCAUUUACAUUUUAGUAUAUUCAUUGGUAUCCAUGGCGAUUUGGAUUUGGUGGAAGAUAUUUUCCCACAGUUUAAAAAUAAAGGAAUUCUGGCAGAUAA